RNAcentral lists this long non-coding RNA (488 nucleotides) under Olea europaea subsp. europaea. Lineage: Eukaryota; Viridiplantae; Streptophyta; Magnoliopsida; Lamiales; Oleaceae. The record is from RNAcentral.
CACAUUCAUUCUCUCAUCCACACAUUUAGCUACAAUUAUUUGUCACAUUCACUCACUCUCUACACAUUUUAAUUCAAGUGUCAUUCUCACAUUCAUUUAGCCGGAAACAUUUCCCACAUUCACUCAAAAAAGACGCUCAUUUGAUCGGAAAAGGUAAGUAAUUCAAAAUUUGUAUUUAAUAUUUGUGCUACUUAGCAGUUAGUUGAAUAACUUGAAAGAAAAUAUACCUUUAAACUAUAAUUUACUCGAAAAACCUAGUCUCUGUGUCACGGAGAUCGCUUCUCCGUGACAUGGAGAGAGCUUCUCUCUGUGUCACGGAGACGCUGCUCUCCGUGACACUCUCAUAGUGUCACGGAGACACAGAAAUGCAACCACCAUAUUUUUUUUUGUAAUUGCCUACCCAGUAUGUUUUACGUCAUAUGUAAACAAAAAUAUUACAUUUUGUUUAAAAUAUUAAUUUUUGAUUUUAAUUUUGUUUAGUAUACAAG